RNAcentral lists this ribosomal RNA (459 nucleotides) under uncultured bacterium. RNAcentral's name for it is "partial 16S ribosomal RNA". It matches the Rfam family "Bacterial small subunit ribosomal RNA", at positions 338 to 795 of the family's 1533-position model. The record is from RNAcentral.
CCUACGGGCGGCAGCAGUGAGGAAUAUUGGUCAAUGGGCGGAAGCCUGAACCAGCCAAGUAGCGUGCGGGAUGAAGGCCCUACGGGUCGUAAACCGCUUUUGCACGGGGAUAACACCCUCCACUUGUGGAGGUCUGCAGGUACCGUGCGAAUAAGGGCCGGCUAAUUCCGUUCCAGCAGCCGCGGUAAUACGGAAGGGCCGAGCGUUAUCCGGAUUCCUUUGGCUUAAAGGGAGCGUAGGCGGGCGUUCAAGUCAGCGGUAAAAUGGCGCGGCCAAACCGCGCCCCGCAGUUGAAACUGGACGCCUUGAGUUCACAACAGGCAGGCGGAAUUCGGGGUGUAGCGGUGAAAUGCAUAGAUAUCACGAGGAACCCCGAUUGCGAAGGCAGCCUGCCGGGGUGCGACUGACGCUGAGGCUCGAAGGUGCGGGUAUCAAACAGGAUUAGAUACCCUUGUAGUC